Molecule: ribosomal RNA, 492 nt
Filed under: uncultured bacterium
Lineage: Bacteria
Description: partial 16S ribosomal RNA
Rfam family: Bacterial small subunit ribosomal RNA
Source: RNAcentral
AGUGAACGCUGGCGGUAGGCCUAACACAUGCAAGUCGAACGGCAGCACAGUAAGAGCUUGCUCUUACGGGUGGCGAGUGGCGGACGGGUGAGGAAUACAUCGGAAUCUACUUUUUCGUGGGGGAUAACGUAGGGAAACUUACGCUAAUAACGCAUACGACCUACGGGUGAAAGCAGGGGAUCUUCGGACCUUGCGCGAUUGAAUGAGCCGAUGUCGGAUUAGCUAGUUGGCGGGGUAAAGGCCCACCAAGGCGACGAUCCGUAGCUGGUCUGAGAGGAUGAUCAGCCACACUGGAGCUGAGACACGGUCCAGACUCCUACGGGAGGCAGCAGUGGGGAAUAUUGGACGAAGGGCGCAAUCCUGAUCCAGCCAUGCCGCGUGGGUGAAGAAGGCCUUCGGGUUGUAAAGCCCUUUUGUUGGGAAAGAAAGGCAGCAGGUUAAUACCCCGCUGUUCUGACGGUACCCAAAGAAUAAGCACCGGCUAACUUCGUG